Molecule: ribosomal RNA, 1307 nt
Filed under: metagenome
Description: SSU rRNA
Rfam family: Eukaryotic small subunit ribosomal RNA
Source: RNAcentral
AUACCGGGCCUUUUUGGGCUUGGUAAUUGGAAUGAGGGAGAGUUAAACGGACCAUCGAGUAUCCAUUGGAGGGCAAGUCUGGUGCCAGCAGCUGCGGUAAUACCAGCUCCAAUAGCGUAUAUUAAAGUUGUUGCAGUUAGAAAGCUCAUAGUUGGACUUGUGUGCGCUGUCCGCGGGUGGCCUGCGCCCAAAAGGGCGUUUCGGUUCGGCCCCGGUGGCGCCUUGAAAUCUGCAGCUGGGGGGACGUUGGCCUUAACUGGUCGGCGACCGCACGCCGGCUGCUCGGUUACUGUGGGAAAAUUAGAGUGUUCAAGGCAGGCAUUGGGUGCAAUUGAAUACAUUAGCAUGGAAUAAUAAAAUAUGGCUCCUGCCGUAUUUUGUUGGUUUUGACUGGUGGGAGUAAUGAUUGAUAGGGACAGUUGGGGGUGCUAGUAUUGAGCGGCCAGAGGUGAAAUUCAUGGAUUCGCUCAAGACUAACUUAUGCGAAAGCAUUCACCAAGGACGUCCUCUUUAAUCAAGAACGAAAGUUGGGGGAUCGAAGACGAUCAGAUACCGUCGUAGUCUCAACCAUAAACUAUGUCGACUUGGGAUCGGCGGUAGUUUUUUCAUUAAGACACUGUCGGGACCACGGGAGAAAUCAAAGUGUCUGGACUCUGGGGGAAGUAUGGUCGCAAGGCUGAAACUUGAAGGAAUUGACGGAAGGGCACCACCAGGAGUGGAGCCUGCGGCUUAAUUUGACACAACACGGGGAAACUUACCAGGUCCAGAGAUGUAGAGGAUUGACAGAUUGAAGCUCUUUCUUGAUCACUUCGGUGGUGGUGCAUGGCCGUUCUUAGUUGGUGGAGUGAUUUGUCUGGUUAAUUCCGUUAACGAACGAGACCUCAGCCUGCUAGUGUAGUCGGCUGGAUUGCCUUUGGCGAUCCGUGAUUUCGACUUCUUAGAGGGACAAUCGACGCGCAGUCGAUGGAAGUUUGAGGCAAUAACAGGUCUGUGAUGCCCUUAGAUGUUCUGGGCCGCACGCGCGCUACACUGCUGGGCUCAGCGAGUUUUACUUGGCCGAGAGGCCCGGUUAAUCUUGUGAAAUCCCAGCGUGCUUGGGCUCGCCUCCUGCAACUGGAGGCGCCAACGAGGAAUUCCUAGUAGACGCAGGUCAUCAACCUGCAUCGAUUACGUCCCUGCCCUUUGUACACACCGCCCGUCGUUCCAUAAGAGUGAGGCAUCCGGUGAAUUCUCGGGAGAGCCUGGGCGUGGCCAGCAAUGGUCUGCUCGGGUUUGAACUUGCAUAAACUUGGUGCCUAUGAUUAGGG